GCCACGGUGGUCUAGUUAGAACGCUGGCCUUGUAAUCCUGGGGUCUCGGGUUCGAUUCCCGGCGGUGCCC
This 70-nucleotide transfer RNA is filed under the name Zootermopsis nevadensis. It matches the Rfam family "tRNA". From Rfam's summary of the family: Transfer RNA (tRNA) molecules are approximately 80 nucleotides in length. Their secondary structure includes four short double-helical elements and three loops (D, anti-codon, and T loops). Lineage: Eukaryota; Metazoa; Arthropoda; Insecta; Blattodea; Termopsidae. The record is from Rfam by way of RNAcentral.